GUGGAUGGUCUUUUGUCAGCAACAAAGGGCUGAUGUAGGUUUUCUAUAAAUAUUUAAUAAACCAGAAUUUAAAAACUCAUUUUGUGUUUUGUGGUUUACCUCUGUCCAAUAUUCAAUAAAAAUAAAGUUUAGUUUGAUGAUCUGGAACACUUGAGAAAUAUGCAGAAAAUGGAAAACGUCUGUAGGGGGGCAAAUACUUUUUCAUGACUCUGUGUAUUUUGGACUUUCCUGCAAGCACCAGAGAAUAUAAAUUACAGCAAAAGUCAACUAUCAAAGCAGAAAAUUAAAUGUUGUACUGGUUCAUUUUGUAUCCAGGACCUGCUUAGAACCCAAUGAUACAGAUAAAAAGCCACUAAAAUGAACAUUUUGGUGCUUUGUGUUGGUGGUAAAACUAGACAACUGAGCACUGAAGAUUGAUAUAUGAACACGAGCUGCCCGUCUGUUGCAUAUUUGAAUUUGUGCGAAAGAAUAAUGUCUGUCUCAGAGCUCGUCAUGUCUCAGUGCUCCGCCACGCACCAAGGACUGGUCUGAAGUCAGAGUCCAGUCAGACAUUUACAUAGGAACCGUGAGGAGAGCUUUCUCCAAGCUGGUGGAAAUCUGCAAUGAACUCGACAAGAAACUAUCCACAGAAGAAGUAAGCAGUGUGGCUAAAUAUGCAGAGGACGUAACUCUGGAUCCUGAGACCGCUGCAGGCUGGCUCAUUCUGUCCUCAGACGGGAAAAAGGU
Acanthochromis polyacanthus (spiny chromis) is the source of this 726-nucleotide long non-coding RNA. RefSeq lists it as uncharacterized. The transcript is spliced from 3 exons. NCBI's taxonomy places the organism in Eukaryota, Metazoa, Chordata, Actinopteri, Pomacentridae. The record is from RefSeq and is a predicted model, not a curated record.